This 367-nucleotide ribosomal RNA is filed under the name uncultured bacterium. Its description in RNAcentral is "bacterial SSU rRNA". It matches the Rfam family "Bacterial small subunit ribosomal RNA", at positions 527 to 896 of the family's 1533-position model. The record is from RNAcentral. RNAcentral also lists the same sequence under 1 other name.
GGAGGAUCCGAGCGUUAUCCGGAUUUAUUGGGUUUAAAGGGAGCGUAGGUGGACUGGUAAGUCAGUUGUGAAAGUUUGCGGCUCAACCGUAAAAUUGCAGUUGAUACUGUCAGUCUUGAGUACAGUAGAGGUGGGCGGAAUUCGUGGUGUAGCGGUGAAAUGCUUAGAUAUCACGAAGAACUCCGAUUGCGAAGGCAGCUCACUGGACUGCAACUGACACUGAUGCUCGAAAGUGUGGGUAUCAAACAGGAUUAGAUACCCUGGUAGUCCACACAGUAAACGAUGAAUACUCGCUGUUUGCGAUAUACAGUAAGCGGCCAAGCGAAAGCAUUAAGUAUUCCACCUGGGGAGUACGCCGGCAACGGUG